Molecule: ribosomal RNA, 429 nt
Filed under: Bacteroidota bacterium
Lineage: Bacteria; Pseudomonadati; Bacteroidota
Description: Bacteroidetes bacterium partial 16S ribosomal RNA
Rfam family: Bacterial small subunit ribosomal RNA
Source: RNAcentral
UAGGGAAUCUUCGGCAAUGGGGGGAACCCUGACCGAGCAACGCCGCGUGAGUGAAGAAGGUUUUCGGAUCGUAAAGCUCUGUUGUUAAGGAAGAACGAGUGUGAGAAUGGAAAGUUCAUACUGUGACGGUACUUAACCAGAAAGGGACGGCUAACUACGUGCCAGCAGCCGCGGUAAUACGUAGGUCCCGAGCGUUGUCCGGAUUUAUUGGGCGUAAAGCGAGCGCAGGCGGUUAGAUAAGUCUGAAGUUAAAGGCAGUGGCUCAACCAUUGUAUGCUUUGGAAACUGUAUAACUUGAGUGCAGAAGGGGAGAGUGGAAUUCCAUGUGUAACGGUGAAAUUCGUAGAUAUAUGGAGGAACACCGGUGGCGAAAGCGGCUCUCUGGUCUGUAACUGACGCUGAGGCUCGAAAGCGUGGGGAGCGAACAGG